UACGUAGGGGGCUAGCGUUGUCCGGAUUUAUUGGGCGUAAAGAGCGUGUAGGCGGCCAGGUAGGUCUGCUGUGAAAACUCGAGGCUCAACCUCGAGACGUCGGCGGAAACCAUCUGGCUAGAGUCCGGAAGAGGAGAGUGGAAUUCCCGGUGUAGCGGUGAAAUGCGCAGAUAUCAGGAAGAACACCCGUGGCGAAGGCGGCUCUCUGGGACGGUACUGACGCUGAGACGCGAAAGCGUGGGGAGCGAACAGG
Molecule: ribosomal RNA, 253 nt
Filed under: uncultured bacterium
Lineage: Bacteria
Description: partial 16S ribosomal RNA
Rfam family: Bacterial small subunit ribosomal RNA
Source: RNAcentral